RNAcentral lists this ribosomal RNA (501 nucleotides) under Staphylococcus pseudintermedius. Its description in RNAcentral is "partial 23S ribosomal RNA". It matches the Rfam family "Bacterial large subunit ribosomal RNA", at positions 692 to 1191 of the family's 2925-position model. The record is from RNAcentral. Lineage: Bacteria; Bacillati; Bacillota; Bacilli; Caryophanales; Staphylococcaceae.
GCGAAUGAGUAUUUGGUCGUAGACCCGAAACCAGGUGAUCUACCCUUGGUCAGGUUGAAGUUCAGGUAACACUGAAUGGAGGACCGAACCGACUUACGUUGAAAAGUGAGCGGAUGAACUGAGGGUAGCGGAGAAAUUCCAAUCGAACUUGGAGAUAGCUGGUUCUCUCCGAAAUAGCUUUAGGGCUAGCCUCAAGUGAUGAUUAUUGGAGGUAGAGCACUGUUUGGACGAGGGGCCCCUCUCGGGUUACCGAAUUCAGACAAACUCCGAAUGCCAAAUAAUUUAACUUGGGAGUCAGAAUGUGGGUGAUAAGGUCCAUAUUCGAAAGGGAAACAGCCCAGACCACCAGCUAAGGUCCCAAAAUAUAUGUUAAGUGGAAAAGGAUGUGGCGUUGCCCAGACAACUAGGAUGUUGGCUUAGAAGCAGCCAUCAUUUAAAGAGUGCGUAAUAGCUCACUAGUCGAGUGACACUGCGCCGAAAAUGUACCGGGGCUAAACAUAU